Molecule: long non-coding RNA, 560 nt
Organism: Toxorhynchites rutilus septentrionalis
Lineage: Eukaryota; Metazoa; Arthropoda; Insecta; Diptera; Culicidae
Exons: 3
Source: RefSeq, a predicted model, not a curated record
UAGCAUUGAGGCGAACGGUCGUAAAGUGCUUGAACGACGGGAAAAAAAGGAAUCACGACAGUCACUAUUUGCACUCCUCUUAGAAUGGUUCCAGAGUACGCAAGUCCGGCCAAUGCCAGGAAAAUUAUAAGAAAUAGUUAAUUUCAAACAGCAUUCUGGCAUCUUAAUAUGAUAGGGAGUAAAUCGCUUCACGAAUGCGAAUUAUUUUGACGUUUGUUCCGCGUCAAGACAAUGUUGCCACUUUUGCAUAUGUCGAUGGGAUAUGUUACCGCGACCCGGGGCGAGAAAAACACACUCUUUUAGUUGCCUACUUAGCAGCUACAAAGCUGUAAUUUUAUUGUGUAUGAGUUAUUCCUGCAGGCUCGCGGUAUCUGAUCUACGACCUCAGCAGAUAUGCGGUCAACACUAAAGUUUUAAUUGUAGGUUAUAAAUAUAGUAAGUAUUCAUAUUAAGGCAACUGCAAAACAAACCUUCGAUAUUUGUUCCUUUUCCGUUUACUGCACGGAUGGAAUCCUACUGAUAAUAGUAAUAAUACUAUUCCGAAAUAUUACCACCAAAUA